Molecule: long non-coding RNA, 2205 nt
Filed under: Sus scrofa (pig)
Lineage: Eukaryota; Metazoa; Chordata; Mammalia; Artiodactyla; Suidae
Description: lncRNA (ENSSSCG00055009949.1)
Source: RNAcentral
CACAUUAGUUCCUCCCCCAAUAGUUAACCAUAGUUUGUACAUACCUUGAUUUAUCCUUUUUAAAGGUUUUUUUUCCUUAAUGUGCUAAUGUAAAUUUCACUGAUAAUCUUAUUUUUUUAAAACUUUAAUAUAAACUAUGGAAAGAUUGCAGAAUAGUACAAAAAGUUUUAUGACCAUUACCCGGUACUUCUCAUUUGUCCCAUAUGUUUUAUUAUUCAUUUAUAGUCUUUCUCUCUUUCUCUUAUUCAUAUUAUGUAUGUUGCUUUGUGUGGAUAUAUGUAUAUGUCUCUAUAUCCUUUUUUUUUCUUUCCUCUGAAUCAUCACUUUGUUAGCAUGAUUGUCAGCCAGGCUUCUCCACUUCUCCACUAUAUUAAGUUACUCAUUUUCCUUUUGUAGUCAAUAAUUUAUCAAGGAAAUUGCUUGAAACUUCACUAACAUAGUUUUACUUUAUUUUAACCCCUAAAUACUUCAGAGUGUAUUGCCUAAAAGCAGAGACAUUUGUCAUUACUGUAACAUAAUUGUCACAAUCUGAAAAUUAAUCUGAAAUGUUUCCUCAGUCUUUGAUUCAUGACAUUUACAUUUUAAAAGAAUAUAGACAUAUUGUUGUGUAGGCUAUCCCUUACUUUGAGUUUAUCUGUUCCUUAUAAGUAGGUUUAGAUUGUGUGUUUUUGCAUGAAUACUGCAGGAGUUAUAUUCUUAGUGUAUCGUAUUAGAAGACAAAGGAUGUUGAUUUGUCAUAUUUUGUGUGUUAACUUUGGUCACUUGGUAAAGGUUGUGUUGCCAGGUUUUCGACUGUAAAUUCUCUGUUUUGCUCUUUGUAACUAGUAAGUCUUUUGUGGAGUGAUACUUUGAGGCCAUGCUAAUGUUAUUUUAACUCACAAACUUUAACCUGCAGCAUACAUUUGAUGGUUCUUGCCAAAAUUCAUUAUUGUAAGUUAUUAUAGAUGUAAAGUUGUGAUUUUCUAAUUUUAUUUUUGGAAUCAAGACUUCAUUCACAAGCUGCUUAAAAUGAACUGAUAACUCAUUCUUUUGUUGUUUUGUGUAACAACUUUUUUCUUGAAAGUUUGGUUGAUCUCACCUGUAAUGUCAUCUGGACCUGGAUUGGGAAUGGGGGAUAUAGAUGACUUUGUGGUUUCACUGCCUUUAAUUCUUGUGAUCAGUUUAGGUUCUCUAUUACUCUCAUACUAGUUUGGGGAUUUGGAUUUGUUCUGAUGCUCUUUUUCUAAUAUUUCGAGUUAGAUAAUUAACUUUUUUUUUUUCGUUUCUUUUUUAGGGCCACACUCAUGGCAUAUGGAGGUUCCCAGGCUAGGAAUCAAAUCCAAGCUCCAGCUGCCAGCCUACGCCACAGCCAUGGCAACACAGGAUCUGAGCCAUAUCUGUGACCUACAACACAGCUCAUGGCAAUGCCAGAUCCUUAACCCACACUAGUCGGGUUAGUUACUGCUGGGCCACGAUGGGAACCCCCUGUCAUAAUUUCUUUAUCCAUUCAUCUGUUGAUGUACCUUUUGGUUGACUAUUGUAAAUAGUGCUGCUGUGUACAUUGGGGUAUAUGUAUCCUUUAAAGAAAAUUGCCUUUUUUACUCCAGGUUUAUUUAAUGGUUUUAAAAGUUUAGUUUCUGGAGUUCCCAUUGUGGCUCAGUGGAUAACGAACCCAACUAGUAUCCAUGAGGCCUCAGGUUCGAUCCCUGCCCUGGCUCAGUCGGUUAAGGAUCCAGCAUUGCUGUGGCUGUGGUGUAGGCCGGCAGCUACAACUCUGAUUCAACCCCUAGCCUGGAAACUUCCUUAUGCCUCUGGUCCUGCCCUAAAAAGACAAAAAAAAGGAAAAGUUUAGUUUCUAAAAAUUAGCUACUCUUUUUUUAUUGUUUCUAAUUUUAUUAUAGAGAACAUAGUAUGUUUAGUAUGUUUCUUUGGAUAGUAUUGAGACUUCUUUUAUAAACUGAUUCAGAAAUUAGCAAACUAUUGGCCCAAGGGCAAAUUUGGCUCACUGCCAUCUUUUUAUAUAUCCUGUAACUUAAAAUGGUCUUUAUACUUCUAAAUGGUUAAAAGAAAUCCAUUGAUUAAUAUUUUGUAGCAGGUGAAAAAUAGAUGAGAUUAAAACCUCAGUGUCUAUAAAUAAAAGUUUAUUGGAACACAGCCGUGCUCAUUUAUUUUCACAUUGUCUUAGAUUCUUUUGUGAAUUGUGACAGAAACUUCAUGGCCCACAAA